This 77-nucleotide transfer RNA is filed under the name Desulfovibrio sp. OttesenSCG-928-G15. Its description in RNAcentral is "tRNA-Met". It matches the Rfam family "tRNA". From Rfam's summary of the family: Transfer RNA (tRNA) molecules are approximately 80 nucleotides in length. Their secondary structure includes four short double-helical elements and three loops (D, anti-codon, and T loops). The record is from RNAcentral. Lineage: Bacteria; Pseudomonadati; Thermodesulfobacteriota; Desulfovibrionia; Desulfovibrionales; Desulfovibrionaceae.
CGCGGGGUGGAGCAGUUUGGUAGCUCGUCGGGCUCAUAACCCGAAGGCCGUAGGUUCAAAUCCUGCCCCCGCAACCA